UGCGUAGGUGGCGUCGUAAGUCGGGUGUGAAAUUUCGGAGCUUAACUCCGAAACUGCAUUCGAUACUGCGGUGCUUGAGGACUGGAGAGGAGACUGGAAUUUACGGUGUAGCAGUGAAAUGCGUAGAGAUCGUAAGGAAGACCAGUGGCGAAGGCGGGUCUCUGGACAGUUCCUGACACUGAGGCACGAAGGCCAGGGGAGCAAACG
RNAcentral lists this ribosomal RNA (207 nucleotides) under uncultured bacterium. Its description in RNAcentral is "partial 16S ribosomal RNA". It matches the Rfam family "Bacterial small subunit ribosomal RNA", at positions 568 to 774 of the family's 1533-position model. The record is from RNAcentral.